AGAGGUUCCAGCUGGAUUGAGUUGGGAUGUGUAGUCCAUGAGUUUUUCAUGGGAGAUAAUUCUCAUUUUGAUUCAGAAAACAUUUACUUUAUCUUGGACUUGCUCAGCAAAGAUAUGAAGCUUUUGGGAUAUAGUAUGGACUCCAAAAAGGAGGCACCACUACUACAGCAGUUUGCAAGAUAGUUGACCAGACUGAAAUGUAAUAGAGGGAAG
This 213-nucleotide unclassified non-coding RNA is filed under the name Hevea brasiliensis (rubber tree). The record is from RNAcentral. Lineage: Eukaryota; Viridiplantae; Streptophyta; Magnoliopsida; Malpighiales; Euphorbiaceae.